UCCUUCCCUUCCUUAUUAAUGGAAGUAAAAAAUUCCUUUUCUUUUUAUCAGAAAAAAUUUGUUAAUUAGUGAACCUCUAUUUUUUUUUUUGGAUGGUGCCUGGCCAACAAAGGGCCUAGAGCACAACAAAAACAGACGAACUAUCCAGCCCCCACCCAACUCGGAUAUCAAUCGUAAUCAGUUCCCUUAGUCCGCCGUUCCUCUUAAGCUGCCGAAGCAAGGCCGAACCCUGGCCACCCACGCCUAAAGCCAACAGACAACUACAUCCCAUUCUGGUUCAGUGCAAACUCCGUCAGAAAGUGCAUUCUAUUCCUACUGAAGUUCUUCCGCGGAUCUCUGACAAGACCGUCCCGUCUCCACAACCAUCUCGAGCUUCGGUUUGCUUCUACUCUCUCUGAAACUAUGAAGCAUCAAAAUCUGUUGAUCUGGCGAGCAGUCCACUUCCACAAAGUCCACGAUGAUUCCAGGUUCUCCUUGCCGCCUCCCACAACUGGAUACUUCAUCCACGCCUCCUCAGUCCUCUCAGUCUUCUGUUGACAACCCCCCUAUGUUGCAGCAGCAGCACUGGAUGUGUUGUUGAUUCACUGACUCUUUAACCGCCAUGAGACUUCGUCUGCCACGCCUAAUCCCACCCUUCCGAUUGCAUUCAUUCCCUUUAGUAUAGUUGUCCGCACAUGCACCAGACAUAACCUCGCCAAUCUACCAACAAUCGAACCUGAAAACCCUAGAUCAAUGUGAAAGAGCCCACCUUAGCAAACUCCUCCGGCAAUGCAGCAACCCUCGUGGCCCCCUCUGCCUCAUCUCCAAGCUCCGCCUCUGCUGUCUGCACUGUCACCUGGAGCAUCGAGAUGUAUGCCACAGCAACCUAAUUAGAACUCCUGAACUCCCAAAAAACUCCUGCCGUCAGUCAUGAUCUAUUUGCCAAUCUUGAGACGGCAAAAUUAUCCUUUCGAAGGAUGUUCUUGAUGGACCGUGGCUUAUACAUGAUCCAAUUCUAGUGGAGAGUUCCCUGACCUGUGAGCUUCGCCACUUCAUGCGCUAAUGAGUUUGCUUCUCUGGGCACCCAAGUAAAACCACAAUUUGGAAUGCCUCUUGCUAAAUGUACCAAUGGCGAAGCGGCGACUAUGGUGGAGUUAAUUAUUGAGAGAAGGGUUCCAUUAUGGUCUCUAAAUACCGCUGCCGUAGCACCCAAAGAUUGAGCUCCAACGAAUGCUGCAUCAACGUUGCAUUUGAUCCAACCUUCCAGUGGCGGUCUUCAGGACAGGGGAGAAUUCUUCGUACAUGAUGUGUUCCGCCACUAAAAUAUCCAGUUCGCCGAAAUCUGUUAUUCUUGCAAGGCACAUAAACACAGAAACUCAAUUCACCCCGGUCCCAUUUCUCCCUGAAAUUGAAAGAAAAAAAUCAACUCAACUCUGUACAAUGGAAAGCUGUUUCCAUUUCCAAUGAAGAUAAUUUUGCUGGAGAAAAAACGAAGAAAACUGUGAGCGCCUACGAACUUGUAGAGCACCCAGACUACUCCUUUUGUUUUGGUGAUAUUGUGUUUGCGGCUCAAAUGAUAGUAGCUGUCUCACGGCUUGCUCAGACUCAAAAUCAAUCAUCCCCAUUCAGAGUUCAGAGCUUGAGCUUCAAUGGCGACGAAGAAGCAGAACGAUGAUAACACCAAGAAGGCGGGCUUUACUCACUAGUGCCCCCCCAGUCCCCAACCUUCGUUCUCACCGUCGAAGAAGUCGUACGCUCGCCGUCGUUCUCACCCUCAAGCAGCUGACUCGCUUUCGCCCUUCCCUCAACUCCCCUUUUAUAGCAAAACAGUUCUGGAACUGCCCUCCUGAGGGUUUUUUUUAGAUAACUUAUUUUUCAUGAAUUUGAUUUGCCUGAAUUAUGAUACAGUUCUGAAUUUAUUUGUUAUUGAUUUGAUAUUGUUUGGAAAUUUUGUUAUUGAUUUGAUAUUGUUCUGAAAAUUUUCAUGAUUUUUUGUUUCUUCAAUCUGAUAUAGUUCUAAAAUCUGAGAUAGUGAGCGUGGUCAAAGAAAUUCUGACCUAUACCGAGAGCAAAUCUCUCUCAUGCUCUAAGCCAAUCUGUUAACCAUAACUCACAGAGCUGUCAGCCAAUGCUAACCUUGUAUUAGUUAGAUAGUUUCAAGGAUUGGCUUCAUGUUAAACUGAUUCAUGAAAUACUUACUUAAUUUCUUGUGUAAGAUAAUGGCAAGUCAGUGACUGACUUGAAGGCGGAGGCUUCUCUUGAAGAUGGGAACCAAGUUUAUUGUGUAGAUGAGUUCCCUGAUAAUCCUUUCCUGUGAUGUGUUGGGAAUGUUACUGGUUUCGAAGAUGGUAACAUGGAAGUGAAUUGGGCUAAUGGUUUCACAACCAAGGUUGCACCUUAUGAAGUUUUUCGAAUUGAAAAACAUGAAGGUUCAUCUGUUAUCUCCAUUCUUCAUGAAACUAAUGUUGAAAAGUUACCUCAAGAGAUGAUUGAACACAGAAGUCUACCCUUUGACAAGAAGGGAAAGAGCCACAGAAGCUGGAGGAGUUCUUUGUUGAUUUGCCUCCUGAGCUUUGCGAACUGAAAGUUGUGGGUUUUUUGAAGGAUAUGGGUAGUUCCAUAUCUUUGCUACCCUCAGUUAUGAAUCGUCUUGGAAACUUACUGGUUGCUAUUGAACUCAAGCAAAUGCUGUCUCCAUUCUUCCCAGAGGCAGCUGAAAUUAACUCCCAUACAGUAAGGCCAGAGAUUCUUGAAGAUCUCAACACUGAGAACUGUUAGGAACGGUUUUCGCUUGAAAGACUAGAAGUGCUUGGAGAUGCUUUUCUCAAAUUUGCUGUUGCACGCCAUUUUUUCCUCACACAUGACAGUCUUCAUGAAGGAGACCUUACUGCAAGGCGUUCUAAUGUUGUAAAUAAUUCCAAUUUGUAUAAGUUGGCUCUUAAACGCAAUUUGCAGGUCUAUAUACAUGAUCAGGCGGUUGAUCCCUGUCAAUUCUACGCAUUUGGCCGUCCUUGCCCGAUAGUCUGCAACAAUGAAACGGAAGAAAGUAUACAAUCAUGUUUAACUUCUGUUAAGGAGCAAGGAAGCUCAAAUGAAAUCCAGAGCAAUAAAAAUCACCACUGGCUAUAUAUAAAAACAAUUGCUGAUGCAGUUGAAGCUUUGGUCAGAGCGUUUAUAGUUGACAGUGACUUUAAAGCUGCAAUUGUAUUUCUUACGUGGCUUGGCAUACAAGUUGGUUUUAUAGCCUCACAAUUGAUUAAUGUUUGCCGAGGAAGUGUUGGCUAUAGUCCUCUCUCUGCUGAUGUAUAAACAUUCUUUCCCUCGAAGAUAAGUUGGGAUAUCACUUCAUUCAUAAGGAUCUGCUUCUUCAGCCAUUUGUGCAUCCUUGUAACAAUAAGCAUGGAGGAGGUUGCUA
Molecule: non-coding RNA, 3394 nt
Organism: Arachis ipaensis
Lineage: Eukaryota; Viridiplantae; Streptophyta; Magnoliopsida; Fabales; Fabaceae
Source: RefSeq, a predicted model, not a curated record